RNAcentral lists this ribosomal RNA (254 nucleotides) under uncultured bacterium. RNAcentral describes it as "partial 16S ribosomal RNA". It matches the Rfam family "Bacterial small subunit ribosomal RNA", at positions 524 to 776 of the family's 1533-position model. The record is from RNAcentral.
UACGUAGGGAGCAAGCGUUGUCCGGAUUUAUUGGGCGUAAAGAGCUCGUAGGCGGCUUAGAAAGUCAGGUGUGAAACCUCCAGGCUCAACCUGGAGACGCCACUUGAUACUUCUAUGGCUUGAGUUCAGUAGGGGUAAGCGGAAUUCCUGGUGUAGCGGUGAAAUGCGCAGAUAUCAGGAGGAACACCGAUGGCGAAGGCAGCUUACUGGGCCGAUACUGACGCUGAGGAGCGAAAGCGUGGGGAGCGAACAGG